GACUGAGAUGUGGUCCCGCGUUGUCAUCCCUUUUCUCCUCUCCUCAUACCGAAUGCCGAUUCCGAUGCCGCCACGCUCGGAGCAGGUUGUUGAGAUUUCCCCAAACCCGUAACAACCUGGGCGGCUUGCUGGGACCGACUGCUCCUCUGCGCGGAUCUAUUUAGCCGAGCCCUCAUCCAUGUUGCGCUGGCGUGAUAGCCGUGAGGGAAUACACGACCGUGUGAGCUGUGCCAUAGCCCUUGUGUGUCCACCAUUGUCGUGACCUUGUUAUCAAGUCGAGAAGCGCUGCCAGUUCGCAAGUGAGAAUGUGGCAACCUCGCUGCGCAGGACAAGCGACCAAGGGCGGGGAGUUUUCACUGGAGGAAGACCAUCGUUGCGGCUUCACUGCUCGCAUGGCCAGGGGCACUUCUUCUCCAAUCCACGGUCAAGAAUUGGUACCGCAGGAGGAGGCGCAUGCCGGAUGCUGUGAUGAGUUCGUGAGUGGUCUAGGCCGUCGUCUCCCAGUCAACUUUGGUUGCUGGAUCAUUGUCUUCGUAUGAUGUAAUUAUUUAACUAUUUUGUAUAGAACUCCGUUAUAUAUUAUAGAUGUGACAUUCUUUUUUGUACCAUGAAUCAUCAUAUGUGUGAGACUUGUUCCUAGCACACUUGGUGAUUAUUUCGCGCCCAGGUUUUGGUCCCUAAAACCCAGGUGUGACAUUAAUUCUAGAUUAUAGGACAACCCACUAGGGUGUAGUAUAUUUGAGGCACUUGAGAGUGUGCCCUAUAUGUUUUCGACAAAAUUUUACAAAAUGAGGCACCGUUGAUAUA
This is a long non-coding RNA of Zea mays, 807 nucleotides long. RefSeq lists it as uncharacterized. The record is from RefSeq and is a predicted model, not a curated record. Lineage: Eukaryota; Viridiplantae; Streptophyta; Magnoliopsida; Poales; Poaceae. The transcript is spliced from 2 exons.